Hemiscyllium ocellatum (epaulette shark) is the source of this 913-nucleotide long non-coding RNA. RefSeq lists it as uncharacterized. NCBI's taxonomy places the organism in Eukaryota, Metazoa, Chordata, Chondrichthyes, Orectolobiformes, Hemiscylliidae. The transcript has 4 exons. The record is from RefSeq and is a predicted model, not a curated record.
UAACAAAGAGGCACCUGGGCUUUUGACUCACUGCCUAAUGGUGGCAAGGAUCUGACAGAAUCUACUGACUUACCGUGUGUGAACCAUUGUUUUAAUCAUGAAACCAUUUGAGAUAACCUCAUCUCAACAUGUAACCAACAAAUCCUUCAACAAGAGAAGCUGUGUUGUUUUUACUAAUGGGCUGCUUGGAGAACCAAACUACAACAUAUUGCUUCUCCACUUCCAUGGGUAGGAGACACCAGGCUUCAUGGCACAUCUACAACAUUGUCUGUAAAGUUCAAAUAGCAAACAUCAUCUUCAGAGCUCUGAAACAUCCAUUUCAGCUUGCCUGCUGGCCUAGGAAAUAUGUUUAGACUAGAAUAUGAUGUUAGAAAUAACAGGAAAAAGCAAGCAAAAUCAUCUCAUUACAGGAUUGCCUCUGAUAGCUGAGGUUCACUUACCUGGAUUAGAGAAUAUGCUCAGCUAUUUAGUCUCCUAUGGGGAACAUCUGAGUGCAUACUCCCUUAUAUCUAACAACAACUAAAUAAAGCUCUCGGUUUAAGAUAUCUAUUUAUCCUUUUGUCUUCACCGGAUAUCCUUGACAGCUAGUUGCCCUUCAUAUGCUCACACCUGUUAGAACGAUGUUAGAGUUGUAACUAUGCGAGGAAAAAUCUUCACAUCUAAACUUUGCUUUGGAGUAGACUUUAUGGAUGUUUGAACUUGAACUGGACAGAUGAUGAUUUGGGAGAUUGUUUACUUUGUAAUGAGUUUCUGCUGUGAAUGGUGUCACAAUGAGCUGUCAUAGUUCAGUGUGGAUCAUGGUUAGGAAAGUAUAUGUAACUUUCCUGUGAAAAGGUUUCAACACAGUUCCUAACUGAUGCACCAAGUUUACCACAGCAAUAUCAUACUAUAAUGUCUCAAUAAAUUUUAAAAA